ACCCCAGAUAGCAGCUGAUUCCGGGGCGGAUCCGCCCUCAGGUCGCUAGAUCCGCCCUACUGUCGCACUCGGUUUGCUCAUGUGAUCCGGAUCCGCCCCGGAUCCGGAUCAAACAGCAUCUGGAUCACGCAGCGGUGUUAACUUUGCCCCAGGCGGAUGUUCCAAAUCGUGCUCCUCCUACUUCUGCGCCUCGACUUUCCAAACUGGUAUUUUCAAACCUGCAGCUCUUCGCGCCAGACGUACUACUUAGUUUUACAGAAGUGUUCAUCAGGAUCGAUCUCUACAAUUCAGGUAAGCACACAUUUUUUUACAGUAGCAGUCGUGCCACAAAGCUGGUACGGUGGUAGUUUCUGCGUUUGGCCAAAUUACCCGAGGGACGAAAGGGUGGACAAGGCUGUCCGAGGUGCCGAAGAACCUCAACCUGACUGGCAGACACAUGAUAUGAUUACUUGGUGGCAAGGCGAUGGUUAAAAAAAUACAUGUCCUGUGACACAUCCGAUCUCCAUUCAGAAGAGGAGGCAAUUCCUAAAAGGAGAAAGCCAAUGCCUGUCAGGACAGCGAACAAGCCAGGGGUACACACCAACCUGGCGAGGGGCGAGGUGUGGUUCAGAUGCCAUUGCCUGCUGUGGUGAUGUCAAAUCUCUUAAUCGUUACCUUUUUUAAAUGUUAUUCUAAUGUUUUUUAUAGCUGCUCAAGUUUAAAUCCUGGCCAUGCUGGAGAUGCUUACACAGCAGGUCCAUCAAUUAACUGGCAAAGUUGACAGCUUUGUUCGCCCCAGUGUGAUACAAAUGUCUGGUCAAGAAGUGGAGUGGAGAGACCCGUUUCCGUUGACCACAAUGGAGGAAGUGGACCUGUUUGAGCAACAGCUCAAAGAUCCAGCCAACGCUAUAAUGAAGAAGAGUGUGACUUCAUCACCAGCAGGACAGCGAACAAGCCAUGCAGGGUACACACCAACCUGGCGAGGGGCGAGGUGUGGUUCAGACGCCAUCGCCUGCUGUGCUCAAAGAUCCAGCCAACGCUAUAAUGAAGAAGAGUGAUUUCCUCCCUGGGAACAAUCGGAGGACAUGAUGUAAAACGUGCAACGUGGAACAUCCUCGCACGCAUGUUCACUGAUGAUGUUGGCAAAUCCAUAAAUUGGAAAGGGAUUAAUGGAAAAAAAUCUUUCAAUCUAAUGACGUCCAAGACUU
Long non-coding RNA from Pseudoliparis swirei, 1187 nucleotides. RefSeq lists it as uncharacterized. NCBI's taxonomy places the organism in Eukaryota, Metazoa, Chordata, Actinopteri, Perciformes, Liparidae. The transcript is spliced from 7 exons. The record is from RefSeq and is a predicted model, not a curated record.